This 400-nucleotide ribosomal RNA is filed under the name uncultured bacterium. RNAcentral describes it as "bacterial SSU rRNA". It matches the Rfam family "Bacterial small subunit ribosomal RNA", at positions 359 to 775 of the family's 1533-position model. The record is from RNAcentral.
GGAUAUUGGUUAAUGUGCGAAAGCGCGAACCAGCAACGCCGCGUGUGCGAUGACGGCCUUCGGGUUGUAAAGCACUUUUAGAAGGGAUGAGGAAGGACAGUACCUUCUGAAUAAGCCUCGGCUAACUACGUGCCAGCAGCCGCGGUAAAACGUAGGAGGCAAGCGUUAUCCGGAUUUACUGGGCGUAAAGCGCGUGCAGGUGGUUUGGUAAGUUGGAUGUGAAAGCUCCUGGCUUAACUGGGAGAGGUCGUUCAAUACUACCAGACUCGAGGAUGGGAGAGGGAAGUGGAAUUCCGGGUGUAGUGGUGAAAUGCGUAGAUAUCCGGAGGAACACCAGUGGCGAAAGCGGCUUCCUGGCCCAUAUCUGACACUCAGACGCGAAAGCUAGGGGAGCGAACGG